AUACUUACCUGGCAGGGGAGAUACCAUGAGCACGAAGGUGGUUUUCCCAGGGCGAGGCUUAUCCAUUGCACUCCGGAUGUGCUGACCCCUGCGAUUUCCCCAAAUGUGGGAAACUCGACUGCAUAAUUUGUGGUAUGGGGGGACUGCGUUCGCGCUCUCCCCUG
Carlito syrichta (Philippine tarsier) is the source of this 164-nucleotide small nuclear RNA. Its record names the gene U1. It matches the Rfam family "U1 spliceosomal RNA". From Rfam's summary of the family: U1 is a small nuclear RNA (snRNA) component of the spliceosome (involved in pre-mRNA splicing). Its 5' end forms complementary base pairs with the 5' splice junction, thus defining the 5' donor site of an intron. The record is from Ensembl. Lineage: Eukaryota; Metazoa; Chordata; Mammalia; Primates; Tarsiidae.